Molecule: non-coding RNA, 1244 nt
Organism: Sus scrofa (pig)
Lineage: Eukaryota; Metazoa; Chordata; Mammalia; Artiodactyla; Suidae
Source: RefSeq, a predicted model, not a curated record
UCCUCCAUCAUGGUCUAGCCCAGGAGACUGGAUAGUGUUCCCUGUGCUGGACAGCAGGACCUCAUUGCUUAUCUAUUCUCAGUGUCAUAGUUUGCAUCUGCAAACCCCAGACUGAGGCUCUUUUCAAAACAGUCUCUGUGCCAAAUGCUUUCACCAUUGUGUUUAUCUCUGGCUGCAAAGAGCUUCACCCCAGUGGGAUCUUAGAGGCUUCACGGGCACACAUAAGCUCUCCAGCUCCCAGGGUCCGGGAUCCAGGCACAGCUUAGCCGACUCCUCUGCUUCAGGCUGCAAAGCCACGCUUCGAAAAGCUGCGUCUGAAGACCUGACUCAUCUUCCUGGACGUUGGUUCCGUCCGUAGCCGUCAACCUGGAAGGGGGGCAGGCAGCUGAGCAGGAACCAACCAAGAUGGCAGCCUAUGGGCCAAAUUGGGUACCAUUUCUGGCUCUUUCUUCUCACAAGGGCGUAUGGAGGAAAGAAAAAAAAAAAAAAGAGCUGCCCGAAUGUAAAAAUAAUUUAGAAAAACCCCACACCUGUAUUUUGUGUGGAUUCAGGUCAAAUAUUUGUACAGAAGGAGCUGCGUUCCCAACUCUCCAUGCCCUGCUGUCUUUUCUAUUUCCAAAUAACAAAGGCCGGCUUGAAGAGGAAGAUGUCACAGCCCCAAACAAAACACAAAGAGGCGUUGUGGAAAACGGCCACGGGAGAAGCUCAGAUCUGAGGCACAGUCAGAGGUGUGCCAGACACAAAGGCGGGACCCUUCCCAAGAAGCUGCUCGAAACAAUGCCAUCCCUGUGGCCAACCCAGCUGGACGUCGACCAGGACGAAAGAACGGGAUGGGGGGAGGGGAGCGGGGCUGCAAAGGGAUAAGUCCUCCUGCAAUAAAAAUUCCUACACCAUGUGGCAGUUUAAAUAGGAGAAAAACACAGCCUGUUGGGAGAAAAUUGGACGAGAGGAAUGAAAAGCCAAAACAACGCCCAGGGUGAACAAAAUGCCUCUACAGGAGGCACUGAAGCGCUUUGAAAUCAGACCCGUCCUCGGCAAAAAUCACGUUUUCUAUUUUUUGUUUAAGUGCAGAAGGCAAAUACACAGAUUGCUCCCCGUGAAGGAAAAACACGAACAGACCGUAGCAGAGAAUUUCACGUCUCUCAAAUUUUUUCAGUAAAUGCUAUUCCCGGCUUUCUGUCACGAGGGUUUUAAAAGUUGAAUUUUGAUUGCAUUCAAUGGUUAAUACACUAAAAUACAAAAAA